GGACCUUCUACUCCCCCUUGACUUCUGUCUACUUAAUUCAUAUAAACUCAAUUUAUUUUAAAACGGAUGUAAUGGAUGUAACACAUCUAAUACUAAGUUUCAACAACGGAUCUCUUGGCUCUCGCAUCGAUGAAGAACGCAGCGAAAUGCGAUAAGUAAUGUGAAUUGCAGAAUUCAGUGAAUCAUCGAAUCUUUGAACGCACCUUGCGCUCCUUGGUAUUCCUUGGAGCAUGCCUGUUUGAGUAUCAUGAAAUCUUCAAAGUCAAACCUUUUGUUAAUUCAAUUGGUUCUGCUUUGGUAUUGGAGGAUUAUUGCAGCUUCACACCUGCUCCUCUUUGUGCAUUAGCUGGAUCUCAGUGUUAUGCUUGGUUCCACUCAGCGUGAUAAGUUAUCUAUCGCUGAGGACACCCUGUA
This 414-nucleotide unclassified non-coding RNA is filed under the name Rhizoctonia solani AG-4. Its description in RNAcentral is "partial contains ITS1, 5.8S rRNA, and ITS2". The stretch from base 95 to 248 matches the Rfam family "5.8S ribosomal RNA". Lineage: Eukaryota; Fungi; Basidiomycota; Agaricomycetes; Cantharellales; Ceratobasidiaceae. The record is from RNAcentral.